GAGAGGGAGCUUGCUUCCUCAAUCGAGUGGCGAACGGGUGAGUAACGCGUGAGGAACCUGCCUCAAAGAGGGGGACAACAGUUGGAAACGACUGCUAAUACCGCAUAAGCCCACAGGUCGGCAUCGACCAGAGGGAAAAGGAGCAAUCCGCUUUGAGAUGGCCUCGCGUCCGAUUAGCUAGUUGGUGAGGUAAUGGCCCACCAAGGCAACGAUCGGUAGCCGGACUGAGAGGUUGAACGGCCACAUUGGGACUGAGACACGGCCCAGACUCCUACGGGAGGCAGCAGUGGGGAAUAUUGCACAAUGGGGGAAACCCUGAUGCAGCGACGCCGCGUGGAGGAAGAAGGUCUUCGGAUUGUAAACUCCUGUUGUUGAGGAAGAUAAUGACGGUACUCAACAAGGAAGUGACGGCUAACUACGUGCCAGCAGCCGCGGUAAAACGUAGGUCACAAGCGUUGUCCGGAAUUACUGGGUGUAAAGGGAGCGCAGGCGGGAAGACAAGUUGGAAGUGAAAUCUAUGGGCUCAACCCAUAAACUGCUUUCAAAACUGUUUUUCUUGAGUAGUGCAGAGGUAGGCGGAAUUCCCGGUGUAGCGGUGGAAUGCGUAGAUAUCGGGAGG
This 619-nucleotide ribosomal RNA is filed under the name uncultured Lachnospiraceae bacterium. Its description in RNAcentral is "bacterial SSU rRNA". It matches the Rfam family "Bacterial small subunit ribosomal RNA", at positions 70 to 704 of the family's 1533-position model. Lineage: Bacteria; Bacillati; Bacillota; Clostridia; Lachnospirales; Lachnospiraceae. The record is from RNAcentral.